Molecule: long non-coding RNA, 2542 nt
Filed under: Capsicum annuum
Lineage: Eukaryota; Viridiplantae; Streptophyta; Magnoliopsida; Solanales; Solanaceae
Description: long non-coding RNA (CANN_LNC009071)
Source: RNAcentral
UCUAUAGUACAUUGUAUUAUCAGACUGUAUCGAAAACCAGAGACUGAAAAGGAGAAUACAGAGAACAAAAAAAAGAGUGAAAAAUUAGAGAAAAAGAAAACAUCAAAAAAUAUAGAGAGAAAAAGAAAAAGCAUUGAAUCUGAGUUUCGUUCGAGUUUCGAUUCCGAUGACGAAUUCUUGUUUCAUCACAGGUUCUAUUCAAUCAUGAAUUAUUUAUUUUUUGUAAACUUUAUUAUGAAGAAGCAUGAAUGAAGAAUGUUCAAGCAAAGAUUAUGCAUUAUUUGAUCUGUGUAAUUGAUUGAUUACAUGAACUUUUAUUAUUAUAUGUUAUACUAUCAAAUUAUUGAAUAUUUAUAUAUUUGUACUGUGUUGAAUAUAAAAAUAUUGUAGGUAUGAUACUAGUUUACAAUUAAAACAGAAAGGAAAUAAUAGGAAGAAAAUGAGUACUGUUACGAUUUUACACACUCUGUUAUGAUUCAAUGCAUACAUUAUCAAUUUCACACACACACAUAAAAUUCUCGUACACACCACAUACAUUCAGAUUACGUAUAAUGACACAAUAAUACACAGAUAGUAGUAGGCAUGCACGAAAAACAGUAAUAAACACAUACUGUUGAAAAAAAAAUAGUGGAAGAAUAGAUGGAAAAUAGUGAACGAGUGAAAACAUUAGACAAAAAUUGAAUGAGAAAAAUCGAGAGUAAAUCACUGAAUAAAAAAAUAGUAGUUUCUAAUUCGUCCGGCGAGAAACUUGCUGGAAUCACUAGCCAAAGGCUAUUGCCCCUUUUCUUUCACCGGCCAUCGCCACCAUAUCCAAAAAUCCGCCGCCGCCGCCGCCGCCAUUAAUGGCGAAGCCAUGGACGGCAACUACCAACAACCACCACCGGAGAAAACUCUCCCUCCCACUUUCCCGAUGUUGUCAGUCCACCAACCGGCUAGCGAAGCUUAGCCGUGCUGCCGCCGUCUUCAGAUCUACCCACAUCGGCGUCGCCUUUUCUUCCCUCUCCAUUUUUCUGGCGAACUAACUCGCCGGAUAUCCACUAACGCCGCCGCCUCAUGUUCUGUUCAGAGAAUCCCUCUGCUCGACUCCACCAACCUCCCUUCGUUACUGUAGUUAAAAUUGUAAUGUUAUAAUAAUUUAUAUUUGGUUUAUUAGCAAAGUUGAAAAAUUUAUUAUUAUAUUAUUUGGGUUUAAAUUGACGGGUAAAGGAUAACGUUUCAAUUUUUUGUGCUCCUUUUAUUAAAAGAAAAAAAUGGAAUCUUUAUUUUAUUUGUAAAUAAGUUAUACAGUAAUAUUUAUGUUGGAUAAAACUUUUAUUUGCCAAUAAAAGUUAGAAUUUUGACUAAUCUCUUGAGAUUGAAAAAUGACUUGCUUUUUGAACAAUAUGGAUAAUUUUAUAUAUAUAUAUAUAUAUAUAUUAUUUUUACUUUUUAUUACUAAUAAAAUUUAAUAAUUAUUCGUAAAAACUAAUUGAUUGUCUCGAAUGAAUUUGCAUAAAAGUUUUUUUUUUUGUUAAGUUUAAUCAAUAUUUUAGCGUUAAGCAAAUUUUAGGCACGUUUUAAAAUAUUCAUCUCAAUUAAGAAUGCGGCGUAGACCUCUUUAUGAGACAUUUUAAAAUUCAAGGAUGCAAUAACGCAUUUUGACAAAUAUUUUUCUAAAAUUAAAUUUUAUCGAUUUAUUUAAUAAUAGAUAAAUUUUAGAUAUUAAAAAUGUGCGAAUUUAGGCCUUAACUUAAUAUUCAAAAUAGUUUAAGUCAACAUAAGUAAAAAAAAAGCGACUGUGCUAGAACCACGGGACUCGAGGGGUGCCUCGCACCUUCCUCUCGGUCAACAGAAUUCCUUAUCCGAUCUUCUAUUUUCGCAGACCAAAUAAGAGUCAUUUUCUUUUGAUUAGGGAUUCAAAAGGUGACUUGGAACACUAUAACUCAAUUACAAGUGGCGACUCUUUAAAUAAACUAAUAUCUAUUUAAUAUCAUCACUUUAAUUGAAAAAAUCCUUCGACUUCGAUCCCUCGGACGAAAAAGGGGUGUGACACUAUGUGGGAAUACUAUGUUGUUGUUACUUAUAUUAUAUUUAUACGUAGCAUAAAGCUCUUAUAUAAAGAAAUUAAAGAAUAUAUUAGUAUAUACUUGUUGCAGAUAUAGUCCUACCUCGAUCAUACAUCCUCAAUACGAAUUUACUUUUCGCAAUAUAGGGUUUAAGUCAUGUAAUUUACAAGCUACUUAUCGUUUAUUCAAUGUUAAUCAAUGAUUAUUGAAUAAAAUCGUCAUGUAUAAUUACAUUUUGAAUGAUGUGAUUGUAUAAAUUACAGGAGACCAUCGAUGAUGCAGAUGACAAGCUGGAAGACACAGUAUUGCUGUUGCUCAACCGUGAGACAAGACCCAAUUCAGUAUAUUAAGGGAAAUAAGGGUAACAAUAUUCAAAGAAAGGCUUUGGAAAAAAAAAAAAAAAAAAAGAGCUCAUCCUUAUAUAUCGUCCAAAAUCUAUUAAAAAGCUCACUGGAUAUAAUAACACCACCCAACAAAACUGCAAGGGGUGCACGACG